AAAGCAAGUCGUUUGAUCGCUUUAUAUAAAGAGGAAAGUCCGAGCUCCAUAGGGCAAUAGUGCCGGCUAACGGCCGGUUAGGGUAACCUAAAGGAAAGUGCAACAGAAAGGAAACCGCCCGUAAGGGUAAGGGUGAAAGGGUGAGGUAAGAGCUCACAGUUAGGUAGGUAACUAUCUAGACGUGUAAACCCCACUAGGAGCAAGACCAAAAAAGAACUAGGCUUUUGCCGGUCGGCUGCCCGCUGACGGUUCGUGGUAGGUCGCUUGAACUUAUUGGCAACAAUAAGUCUAGAUAGAUGAUCAUUAAAACAGAACUCGGCUUAUGAACUUGCUUAUAAU
Anaerofustis stercorihominis DSM 17244 is the source of this 339-nucleotide non-coding RNA. It matches the Rfam family "Bacterial RNase P class A". From Rfam's summary of the family: Ribonuclease P (RNase P) is a ubiquitous endoribonuclease, found in archaea, bacteria and eukarya as well as chloroplasts and mitochondria. Its best characterised activity is the generation of mature 5'-ends of tRNAs by cleaving the 5'-leader elements of precursor-tRNAs. The record is from Rfam. Lineage: Bacteria; Bacillati; Bacillota; Clostridia; Eubacteriales; Eubacteriaceae.